This 253-nucleotide ribosomal RNA is filed under the name uncultured bacterium. RNAcentral's name for it is "partial 16S ribosomal RNA". It matches the Rfam family "Bacterial small subunit ribosomal RNA", at positions 524 to 776 of the family's 1533-position model. The record is from RNAcentral.
UACGAAGGGGGCUAGCGUUGCUCGGAAUUAUUGGGCGUAAAGCGCACGUAGGCGGAUUGUUAAGUCUGGGGUGAAAUCCUGGGGCUCAACUCCAGAACUGCCUUCGAAACUGGCGAUCUUGAGUUCGGGAGAGGUGAGUGGAAUUGCGAGUGUAGAGGUGAAAUGCGUAGAGAUGCGCAGGAACACCAGUGGCGAAGGCGGCUCACUGGCCCGAUACUGACGCUGAGGUGCGAAAGCGUGGGGAGCAAACAGG